GUGGGGAAUAUUGCACAAUGGGGGAAACCCUGAUGCAGCGACGCCGCGUGAGUGAAGAAGUAUUUCGGUAUGUAAAGCUCUAUCAGCAGGGAAGAAAAUGACGGUACCUGACUAAGAAGCCCCGGCUAACUACGUGCCAGCAGCCGCGGUAAUACGUAGGGGGCAAGCGUUAUCCGGAAUUACUGGGUGUAAAGGGUGCGUAGGUGGUAUGGCAAGUCAGAAGUGAAAACCCAGGGCUUAACUCUGGGACUGCUUUUGAAACUGUCAGACUAGAGUGCAGGAGAGGUAAGCGGAAUUCCUAGUGUAGCGGUGAAAUGCGUAGAUAUUAGGAGGAACAUCAGUGGCGAAGGCGGCUUACUGGACUGAAACUGACACUGAGGCACGAAAGCGUGGGGAGCAAACAGGAUUAGAAACCCGGGUAGUCC
Molecule: ribosomal RNA, 425 nt
Filed under: uncultured bacterium
Lineage: Bacteria
Description: partial 16S ribosomal RNA
Rfam family: Bacterial small subunit ribosomal RNA
Source: RNAcentral